GGACUACAAGGGUAUCUAAUCCCGUUCGCUCCCCUAGCUUUCGCACCUCAGCGUCAGUCAUUAGCCAGAAGCCCGCCUUCGCCACGGGUGUUCUCCACGAUAUCUACGCAUUUCACCGCUACACCGUGAAUUCCAGCUUCCCCUCUAAUACUCAAGUGAAGUAGUUUUGGAGGCAAUUUCCAGGUUAAGCCUGGAGCUUACACCCCCAACUUGCUAAACCGCCUACGUGCGCUUUACGCCCAGUGAUUCCGGACAACGCUUGCCCCUUACGUAUUACCGCGGCUGCUGGCAC
This 292-nucleotide ribosomal RNA is filed under the name uncultured bacterium. RNAcentral describes it as "partial 16S ribosomal RNA". The record is from RNAcentral.